Molecule: unclassified non-coding RNA, 296 nt
Filed under: uncultured fungus
Lineage: Eukaryota; Fungi
Description: partial contains 5.8S ribosomal RNA, internal transcribed spacer 2, and large subunit ribosomal RNA
Source: RNAcentral
AACGCACAUUGCGCCCGCUGGUAUUCCGGCGGGCAUGCCCGUUCGAGCGUCAUUUUAAUUCCUUCCCAGGACGGAGCCUCUGUUUCUACAGAGGUUUUCUGCCAGGGGUGUUGGCACCUGGCGCCGCCUAGGCGACCGGAGCCCAAAUGCAGUGGCGGACGCGCAAGCGGUCCCUAGCGCAGUAAACAAAACUUCGCUCAGGAGGCUCGCAGCAGUGGACCACAGCCUAACGCAAAAAGCUUUUUUUGCAAUAAAAAUUUGACCUCGGAUCGGGUAGGACUACCCGCUGAACUUAA